RNAcentral lists this ribosomal RNA (547 nucleotides) under uncultured bacterium. Its description in RNAcentral is "bacterial SSU rRNA". It matches the Rfam family "Bacterial small subunit ribosomal RNA", at positions 358 to 916 of the family's 1533-position model. The record is from RNAcentral.
GGAAUAUUGGGCAAUGGGCGCAAGCCUGACCCAGCGACGCUGCGUGAGGGAUGAAGGUCUUCGGAUUGUAAACCUCUUUCAGUAGGGAAGAAGCGAAAGUGACGGUACCUAAAGAAGAAGCACCGGCUAACUAUGUGCCAGCAGCCGCGGUAAUACAUAGGGUGCAAGCGUUGUCCGGAAUUAUUGGGCGUAAAGAGCUCGUAGGUCGUUUGUCGCGUCGAUUGUGAAAAUCUGAGGCUCAACCUCAGACCUGCAGUCGAUACGGGCAAACUAGAGUGUGGUAGGGGAGACUGGAAUUCCUGGUGUAGCGGUGGAAUGCGCAGAUAUCAGGAGGAACACCAAUGGCGAAGGCAGGUCUCUGGGCCAUAACUGACACUGAGGAGCGAAAGUGCGGGGAGCGAACAGGAUUAGAUACCCUGGUAGUCCGCACCGUAAACGGUGGGCACUAGUUGUGGGAACCUUCCACGGUUUCCGCGACGCAGCAAACGCAUUAAGUGCCCCGCCUGGGGAGUACGAUCGCAAGAUUAAAACUCAAAGGAAUUGACGG